GCUCUGUUAUACACUCAGACACAUUACUGGGAGUAUUAUUGCUGUGGAGCUCUGUUAUACACUCAGACAACACAUUACUGGGAGUAUUAUUGCUGUGGAGCUCUGUUAUACACUCAGACAACACAUUACUGGGAGUAUUAUUGCUGUGGAGCUCUGUUAUACACUCAGACAACACAUUACUGGGAGUAUUAUUGCUGUGGAGCUCUGUUAUACACUCAGACACAUUACUGGGAGUAUUAUUGCUGUGGAGCUCUGUUAUACACUCAGACACAUUACUGGGAGUAUUAUUGCUGUGGAGCUCUGUUAUACACUCAGACACAUUACUGGGAGUAUUAUUGCUGUGGAGCUCUGUUAUACACUCAGACACAUUACUGGGAGUAUUAUUGCUGUGGAGCUCUGUUAUACACUCAGACACAUUACUGGGAGUAUUAUUGCUGUGGAGCUCUGUUAUACACUCAGACACAUUACUGGGAGUAUUAUUGCUGUGGAGCUCUGUUAUACACUCAGACACAUUACUGGGAGUAUUAUUGCUGUGGAG
Pelobates cultripes (western spadefoot toad) is the source of this 538-nucleotide non-coding RNA. Lineage: Eukaryota; Metazoa; Chordata; Amphibia; Anura; Pelobatidae. The record is from the annotation of a GenBank genome assembly.